CGGAAGCCUGAUCUUUGAGUCAGCGCACACGUAUAUUGGGUGGGGGGGGGCUGGCUGAGUCCUCGGCUCUCUGCCAGGUUCUGGGCUCUUUCCAAGCAAACCCAGGACGUGGCCCCAAAGUGUUGUCCCACAUCUGUCCCCGGGCUGGGUGUCUCUGUGGCAAGAAGGUUGUGGCUGCAGGGAGGAGCCAGCUCUGCCCGCAGCUCCCAUCUGUGACGGGCUGUUCCCAGGAGCGGCUGCUCCAACAACAUUUACUUUGUACGGGGGCCAAGACAGAAAGAGAGGGAGAAAAAAAAAAGAAAUAGAAAAAGAAAAAAGGAAGAGAGAACAGGCCUGCUCUAUUCCAAAAUGUUUCUGACAAACUCUGGCACUCCUGGUUCUAAUCAAAAUACUGAACUUUGGAACAAAUUAACAUUCCACAGUCCUCACUGGGAAGGCGAAUUCAGCCGAGACGACUUCAGUUCACAACCACAACAAAAAUAGCUUCUCCCGGGGAAGACACAUUCCGCUAACAAGGUCACUUUUGUUUUGCUUCCCCUGCCAUCUGGCUGAGUGGCACCAGGGGCUGGCACCGGUACCAGCUUCUUGUGUGGAGAGAGGCUGGGAGCCGGCUGGUGCCGCCCAAGGCUUCUCAGCCUCCUCCUGGCAGAGGGUGGCGGGGCCGAGUUACCUGCAGACGGUCCCAGGACGCGGGCAGAUGGAGCCCUGGUCUCAGCCAGCCUGGCUCUGCUCCCCACUCCCAGCAGCAGGAGCUGCUCAACACCAGCAAGCAGGUGGGGGAGCCGAGGACACGGUGGCAGAAGGAGAAAGACGCGCCUGUGACCCCGAGAAACAUUCCAGGACUCAGCACAUGGCUGGCCCGAGUGAGCGGGGAGCCUGAGCUCCAGAAGAACAAAGAGGCGUUUUGUUCUCCUCCUCCUCCUGCUCCUCUUUCUUUUCUUCCUCUCCGCUUCCUCUCCCUUCUACUUCCAAAGUUCGACCUCUUUUGGUUACUUGUGACCUCAGGCAUAUCCCACAACUUGCCUCUGCCUCCACAUCCCCAUCUGUAGAAUGGGAAUCUUUGCAUGGGUCUUGAGCAGGGGUGCUCAAGUACAAUGAGAGUAUGAUGGGAAUGAGUUGGUGUCUUGCCAGAGCACCAGCCUGGGUUCUCCAGAGGGACGGGGCUGGGCCUCCCAAAGAUUCUCUUAUGACUCCUGUGGUCCACCUGGAGGCCUCUGCUUAACAGAUGUCAACCUGGAGCAUUUUGGUUGCAAAGAUGCUGUUUCUUUUAUACCACUGAUUUUCUGUCUUUUGAAGUAGGAUGAAAAACCUUAAAUGUACACAGAAAUUAUCACAUACAAUUGUAAGGGACCUGUGACCUUCUGGUAGGCGUCUAGAGGCCCCAGAGUAUCUGUUUGGAGCCGGGGUAAGAGGACAAGACUUUUGAUGACCCCGAAGAGGAAGCCUUAAGAUGGACAAACACCUCCCUACCCUUGAGGGGAAGGAGUUCAUUGCAGCAUCUUCUUCUGGGUUUUUAUUUCCCUGAAAGACAAAUAAGGAGACACUGAUUUCACAAUCAGGUUCAAGAGCAACAGAACCCGCUGGUCACGGACUGAAGCCUCUGCAACCGUGAGCCUAAAUAAACCCAGCCUCCUUUGAGCUGUUUAUGUCAGGUGUUUGGCCUCAGCGGUAGAAAGCCGAUCGGCAGACUUCCCUUGCAAGAAGCAGCUUGUGUUAUGGAGCCCACGAGUCCCUGUUUGCCUAGGACAAUCUUGGUCCACACCUGUCAUCGCAGUGUGAUUGUGAGUGGCACAGCUCUGCAGGAUCCUGGAUCCCUUGAGAAGUAAGAUAGCCACACUAUGAGAAAGAGAGUUGUAAAUCGGUGCUAAAGGAUCACUCUUCAGUGUGUCUCUGAUCUAAAGCUCUGAGUCUUAGCCUCCAUGGGACACGCGGCAAUGAGUGAGGACUUUCUCAUUGUCACAACUCGGGCAAGUGUCCUACGAUCACCUAGCGGGUAGAGACCAGGGCUGCUAACACCCUCCCCAGUACAGCACAGCCCGUGCCCCACGGAGGUCCCCGGCCCUGGUGUCAACAGGUGAAAACCUUAAUUUAAGAAAUGCAAGGAAGAAAAGAAGAGUAAAGACAGGUUGAAGGGAGGCCAGAAAGGAAAAAAGAAUAGACAACGUUUUGCCAGAAGCUAACGCCGCACCCCGGAAACAGAGCUUGGCCCCCCGCCCGCCUCUCGGGCAGCGUCCACCUCGUUCCAGAGUGCUUCGUCCCCUCACCCUCGGGGUCUUCCUCUGGGCAGCGCUGGCUCAGGCCCCCUCUGCCUGACACAGGCCGAGACGGGUUCAUAAGGAGCUUGUUUAGAGCCCUUGACGAUGACAUGUGCCUCUCACAAGUCCCAUUUUGUGCUUCUCGGGGUGCCCUGCGUUAGUGAUGGAUGCAGAGACCUACCCUGUCCUCUGCCAAGCCGCAUGUGCUUCGGUAUCUUUUAAAUACAUGCGAGCGCCCCAAUCCCCGAUUAUGUAAUUGUCUCGGUGGCCAGCGCUCACCUGUCUGGUCUGAACUCAAUUUACAGAAGCUCCCUGCGGCCCUCUAUAAAUAUUCAUUAAUGAUGAGGUCAGAUGCAGCCCUGGAAUUCAGGUAAGGACCGUUCUUAACACAAACCACACAGCCUUCUCCCUGCCCCGGGGUGACCAUGAGGACAGGAAGGCCCGGAGUCCCAUCAGAAGAACCUAGAAGAAAUCAGACUGUGGUGAACGGACACCAGGCCUCGAGAGAGGAGACAGAGAUGCAGAAGCUCAGGAAAGGGGAAACGAUCCAAGCCGAGUGAUGGACUCCCUGCCCAAAGUUACUGCGCCACGGUCUUCCCCUAAGUGCGGUGGCAGCUGGUAAAAAAUCUUUAUGCCAAUAAAAAUAUUUGCCAGCCA
Cavia porcellus (domestic guinea pig) is the source of this 2912-nucleotide long non-coding RNA. RefSeq lists it as uncharacterized. The transcript is spliced from 2 exons. The record is from RefSeq and is a predicted model, not a curated record. NCBI's taxonomy places the organism in Eukaryota, Metazoa, Chordata, Mammalia, Rodentia, Caviidae.